GAUAACUGUGGUAAUUCUAGAGCUAAUACAUGCACCAAAGCUCCGAUUUUGACGAGCGCAUCUAUUAGACUAAAACCAAUCGGGCUUACGGCUCGUGUUUUGGUGACUCUGAAUAGCUACAGCUGAUCGCAUGGUCAAGUACCGGCGACGUAUCUAUCAAGUAUCUGCCUUAUCAACUUUCGAUGGUAGUUUAUGUGCCUACCAUGGUUGUUACGGGUAACGGAGAAUAAGGGUUCGACUCCGGAGAGGGAGCCUGAGAAACGGCUACCACAUCCAAGGAAGGCAGCAGGCGCGCAAAUUACCCACUCUCGGCAUGAGGAGGUAGUGACGAAAAAUAACGAGACCGUUCUCAAUGAGGCCGGUUAUCGGAAUGAGUACAAUUUAAACCUGUUAACGAGGAUCUAUGAGAGGGCAAGUCUGGUGCCAGCAGCCGCGGUAAUUCCAGCUCUCAAAGUGUAUAUCGUCAUUGCUGCGGUUAAAAAGCUCGUAGUUGGAUCUGCGCUUGAGGACUCGGUCCACCAUUUUGGUGCUGAACUGGGCUCCUCGGCUACAAUUGUGCUGGUUUUCCCUACGUUGCCUUUACCGGUCGCGUAGGGUGGCUAGCGAGUUUACUUUGAAAAAAUUAGAGUGCUUAAAGCGGGCUUUAAGUCUGAAUAUUUGUGCAUGGAAUAAUAGAAUAGGAUCUCGGUUCUAUUUUGUUGGUUUUCUGAUCUGAGAUAAUGGUUAAGAGGGACAGACGGGGGCAUUCGUAUCGCUGCGUGAGAGGUGAAAUUCUUGGACCGUAGCGAGACGCCCGACUGCGAAAGCAUUUGCCAAGAUGUCUCAUAUCAGACGAAGUCAGAGUUCGAAGCAA
RNAcentral lists this ribosomal RNA (853 nucleotides) under Aspiculuris tetraptera. RNAcentral describes it as "SSU rRNA". It matches the Rfam family "Eukaryotic small subunit ribosomal RNA", at positions 142 to 1006 of the family's 1831-position model. The record is from RNAcentral. Lineage: Eukaryota; Metazoa; Nematoda; Chromadorea; Rhabditida; Heteroxynematidae.